GACGAACGCUGGCGGCGUGCUUAACACAUGCAAGUCGAACGGAAAGGCCCUGCUUUUGUGGGGUGCUCGAGUGGCGAACGGGUGAGUAACACGUUAGUAACCUGCCCUUGACUUUGGGAUAACUUCAGGAAACUGGGGCUAAUACCGGAUAGGUGCUCCUGCUGCAUGGUGGGGGUUGGAAAGUUUCGGCGGUUGGGGAUGGACUCGCGGCUUAUCAGCUUGUUGGUGGGGUAGUGGCUUACCAAGGAUUUGACGGGUAGCCGGUCUGAGAGGGUGACCGGCCACAUUGGGACUGAGAUACGGCCCAGACUCCUACGGGAGGCAGCAGUGGGGAAUAUUGCACAAUGGGCGGAAGCCUGAUGCAGCAACGACGCGUGCGGGAUGACGGACUUCGGGUUGUAAACCGCUUUCGCCUGUGACGAAGCGUGAGUGACGGUAAUGGGUAAAGAAGCACCGGCUAACUACGUG
This 468-nucleotide ribosomal RNA is filed under the name uncultured bacterium. RNAcentral's name for it is "partial 16S ribosomal RNA". It matches the Rfam family "Bacterial small subunit ribosomal RNA", at positions 28 to 507 of the family's 1533-position model. The record is from RNAcentral.